Molecule: ribosomal RNA, 422 nt
Filed under: uncultured microorganism
Description: bacterial SSU rRNA
Rfam family: Bacterial small subunit ribosomal RNA
Source: RNAcentral
GAGUUUGAUCUUGGCUCAGAUUGAACGCUGGCGGCAUGCCUUACACAUGCAAGUCGAACGGCAGCAUGAUCUAGCUUGCUAGAUUGAUGGCGAGUGGCGAACGGGUGAGUAAUACAUCGGAACGUGCCCUGUAGUGGGGGAUAACUAGUCGAAAGAUUAGCUAAUACCGCAUACGACCUGAGGGUGAAAGUGGGGGACCGCAAGGCCUCAUGCUAUAGGAGCGGCCGAUGUCUGAUUAGCUAGUUGGUGGGGUAAAGGCCCACCAAGGCGACGAUCAGUAGCUGGUCUGAGAGGACGAUCAGCCACACUGGGACUGAGACACGGCCCAGACUCCUACGGGAGGCAGCAGUGGGGAAUUUUGGACAAUGGGCGGAAGCCUGAUCCAGCAAUGCCGCGUGUGUGAAGAAGGCCUCGGUUGUAAG